Gossypium arboreum is the source of this 456-nucleotide long non-coding RNA. RefSeq lists it as uncharacterized. The record is from RefSeq and is a predicted model, not a curated record. NCBI's taxonomy places the organism in Eukaryota, Viridiplantae, Streptophyta, Magnoliopsida, Malvales, Malvaceae. The transcript has 2 exons.
AUUUCUUAUUCCCAUUGUUUUUCAAACAAAAAGAAGCAGAAUGCUUCUUCUUCCCUGCUCCCUUUCCAUUUUUCUUUGCUAGGAAUUCAACCUAGCUUGCACCACCCUGGAGGAUCAUUGGUGCCACGCACCUCCACCCCACCGCCGGUUCACGGAUCAAGACCAGAUAUAGCUGCGAAAAUCUCGGAAUCGAGAGGCGUGGCGGAGUGGGACGCUGGUGAGAGGCGUGCGGCGCGAGGACUCAUGCAACAACUUUGAGUCUCUGUUCGUUUGGGCCUUGUUUGGGUCUAUUUUUGUGCCUAUUUUUCUUGUAUUGGAUCAUGGCAUGAAUUUGGUCCUACAGUGUACUACAACCUUUUUGCCAUCUGUCAAGUUAGUAUAAGGGCAAAAUUAGAAAUUUUGCAUCGAGGAGGGCAAGAUCAAAUAAAAAAAGUUGGGAGGGGCCAUAGUUAAAAA